CUAAACCGUCUUUACCAAAUACUCUAAAGAAACGUAUUUUCAUUUAAUAUUCAAGUAAUUGUGUCCUCCAAUCAUUACAAAAUAUACCAUUACAACCAGGAAUCAUGACAUCAUCAUCAACAACAAAGAUUGCCCCCAAAUUUUCCUGUAAGAAUGGCAUCAUAUAAACACAGCAUUCACAUUACAUCCUCACACUGCAUAAAAC
Non-coding RNA from Pelobates cultripes (western spadefoot toad), 205 nucleotides. The record is from the annotation of a GenBank genome assembly. NCBI's taxonomy places the organism in Eukaryota, Metazoa, Chordata, Amphibia, Anura, Pelobatidae.